Molecule: long non-coding RNA, 337 nt
Organism: Maniola jurtina (meadow brown)
Lineage: Eukaryota; Metazoa; Arthropoda; Insecta; Lepidoptera; Nymphalidae
Exons: 2
Source: RefSeq, a predicted model, not a curated record
UUCCUGAGCUGAUCGCGAACAAGGCAGAGUUAAUGAAGGAGAGCUCCGGAUCACUGGAGCCACCCUUGAUUGGAACUUAUUUAUUUGCUAUGGAACGACUUUCACGCUGCCAAUGGACGUUUCGGUCUUUACUAAACAGCAUCAAAAUAAUGAAUCAUGAGAUACACGAAGAAGUUAUAAAACGAAAAGGAAAUAUAUUGCUGUGGUUCGCUGUGAACGAAGGGCGGAGUUAGUGAGUUGAGGGUUAAUAUCUAACAAUCUUCUGUUACACUGAUGAAAUUGCGGGCAUUGUCUUUUAUUAAUUACAUUUCCAAAUAAACUCAGCCGUUAAAAACGA